GACGAACGCUGGCGGCGUGCUUAACACAUGCAAGUCGAACGAUGAAGAAAAGAAUUGAAGCUUCGGCAGAAAUUCAUUUCGGAUUAGUGGCAGACGGGUGAGUAACGCGUGAGCAACCUACCUCUUACAAAGGGAUAGCCUCGGGAAACCGGGAUUAAUACCAUAUAACAUUGCGACGAAGCAUUUCGAUGCAAUCAAAGCUACGGCGGUAAGAGAUGGGCUCGCGUCCCAUUAACCAGAUGGUGAGGUAACGGCUCACCAUAGUAACGAUGGGUAACCGGCCUGAGAGGGUGAACGGUCACACUGGAACUGAGACACGGUCCAGACUCCUACGGGAGGCAGCAGUGGGGAAUAUUGCACAAUGGAGGGAACUCUGAUGCAGCGACGCCGCGUGAGUGAUGAAGGAAUUCGUUUCGUAAACCUCUGUUCUAUGGGAAGAAAAGGACUGUACCAUAGGAGAAAGCUCCGGCUAAAUACGUG
This 480-nucleotide ribosomal RNA is filed under the name uncultured bacterium. Its description in RNAcentral is "partial 16S ribosomal RNA". It matches the Rfam family "Bacterial small subunit ribosomal RNA", at positions 28 to 507 of the family's 1533-position model. The record is from RNAcentral.